RNAcentral lists this long non-coding RNA (225 nucleotides) under Mytilus galloprovincialis (Mediterranean mussel). Lineage: Eukaryota; Metazoa; Mollusca; Bivalvia; Mytilida; Mytilidae. The record is from RNAcentral.
UGUUUGUAGAAUAAAAGUGUCAAUCCAAAUGCUGUGAAUACUAAUGUCUAUCAAUGUCUAUGUCCAAGUUUUAUUAUGAGAGUUUAACUUUAGUGUCUGUAUAUAUAGUGUUGUCAUGGAAAAUUCUAGAACACUCUAUAAUGGAACAUUGUGGAAAAUCCUGGAAAGUUACAACGGAAGUUUCUGGAAUAACGUAGAAGUUUAAAUUACGCAUCUUUUAUAAGG